ACUCCUACGGGAGGCAGCAGUGGGAAUAUUGCACAAUGGGGAAGCCAUCGAUGCAGCCAUGCCGCGCUGUGUGAAGAAGGCCAAUUCGGGCUUGGUUAAAGACACUUUUCAGCGAGGAGGAAAGGGUGUGUGUUAAUACCAUACAUCUGUGACGUUACUCGCAGAAGAAGCACCGGCUAACUCUGUGCCAGCAGCCGCGGUAAUACAGAGGGUGCGAGCGUUAAUCGGAUUUACUGGGCGUAAAGCGUGCGUAGGCGGCCAUUUAAGUCAAAUGUGAAAU
Molecule: ribosomal RNA, 280 nt
Filed under: uncultured bacterium
Lineage: Bacteria
Description: partial 16S ribosomal RNA
Rfam family: Bacterial small subunit ribosomal RNA
Source: RNAcentral